UACGAAGGGGGCGAGCGUUGUUCGGAUUUACUGGGCGUAAAGCGCGGGCAGGCGGCGUGUCAAGUGGGAUGUGAAAGCGCUCAGCUAAACUGGGCGAGGCCAUUCCAAACUGACAGGCUGGAGGGCAGUAGAGGUCGGUAGAAUUCCGCGUGUAGUGGUGAAAUGCGUAGAUAUGCGGAGGAACACCAGUGGCGAAGGCGGCCACCUGGACCGUCCCUGACGCUCAAACACGAAAGCUAGGGUAGCGAACGGG
RNAcentral lists this ribosomal RNA (253 nucleotides) under uncultured bacterium. RNAcentral describes it as "partial 16S ribosomal RNA". It matches the Rfam family "Bacterial small subunit ribosomal RNA", at positions 524 to 776 of the family's 1533-position model. The record is from RNAcentral.